This 394-nucleotide non-coding RNA is filed under the name Rhodnius prolixus. RNAcentral describes it as "Eukaryotic large subunit ribosomal RNA". It matches the Rfam family "Eukaryotic large subunit ribosomal RNA", at positions 997 to 1373 of the family's 3401-position model. Lineage: Eukaryota; Metazoa; Arthropoda; Insecta; Hemiptera; Reduviidae. The record is from Rfam by way of RNAcentral.
AGUCAGCAAAGAUAGCACUAUCAUCUGCAUAAAGAGAUAAGAGGACAUCAGUAUCUGAGGCAAUUGGAAUACCCGAGACACCUCUCGCUCGAAAUGAGAUCCCCGGCUUUCUUAAAAGUGAAGCCGUGGGAAUAGGAUCAGAGUGCCAAGUGGCCAAUUUGGUAAGCAGAACUGGCGCUGUGGGAUGAACCAAACGCAGAGUUAAGGCGCCUAAAUUGACGCUCAUGUGAAACCAUGAAAGGCGUUGGUUGCUUAAGACAGCAGGACGGUGGCCAUGGAACUUGGAAUCCGCUAAGGAGUGUGUAACAACUCACCUGCCGAAGCAACUAGCCCUGAAAAUGGAUGGCGCUGUAGCGUCGUGCCUAUACUCUGCCGUCAAUGACAAAGAUGAUUA